Molecule: ribosomal RNA, 373 nt
Filed under: uncultured organism
Description: bacterial SSU rRNA
Rfam family: Bacterial small subunit ribosomal RNA
Source: RNAcentral
CGGUAGGGGGCUAGCGUUGUCCGGAUUUAUUGGGCGUAAAGAGCGUGUAGGCGGCCAGGUAGGUCUGGUGUGAAAACUCGAGGCUUAACCUCGAGAUGUCAUCGGAAACCAUCUGGCUAGAGUCCGGAAGAGGAAAGUGGAAUUCCUGGUGUAGCGGUGAAAUGCGCAGAUAUCAGGAAGAACACCAAUGGCGAAAGCAGCUUUCUGGGACGGUACUGACGCUGAGACGCGAAAGCGUGGGGAGCGAACAGGAUUAGAUACCCUGGUAGUCCGCGCCGUAAACGAUGGGCGCUAGGUGUGGGCGGUGUCGACUCCGUCCGUGCCGAAGCUAACGCAUUAAGCGCCCCGCCUGGGGAGUACGGCCGCAAGGCUA